Molecule: ribosomal RNA, 642 nt
Filed under: Burkholderia sp. NAR4(3)
Lineage: Bacteria; Pseudomonadati; Pseudomonadota; Betaproteobacteria; Burkholderiales; Burkholderiaceae
Description: bacterial SSU rRNA
Rfam family: Bacterial small subunit ribosomal RNA
Source: RNAcentral
ACCAUGCAGUCGAACGGCAGCACGGGAGCAAUCCUGGUGGCGAGUGGCGAACGGGUGAGUAAUACAUCGGAACGUGUCCUGUAGUGGGGGAUAGCCCGGCGAAAGCCGGAUUAAUACCGCAUACGCUCUACGGAGGAAAGGGGGGGAUCUUCGGACCUCUCGCUACAGGGGCGGCCGAUGGCAGAUUAGCUAGUUGGUGGGGUAAAGGCCUACCAAGGCGACGAUCUGUAGCUGGUCUGAGAGGACGACCAGCCACACUGGGACUGAGACACGGCCCAGACUCCUACGGGAGGCAGCAGUGGGGAAUUUUGGACAAUGGGGGCAACCCUGAUCCAGCAAUGCCGCGUGUGUGAAGAAGGCCUUCGGGUUGUAAAGCACUUUUGUCCGGAAAGAAAACUUCGGCCCUAAUACGGCGGGAGGAUGACGGUACCGGAAGAAUAAGCACCGGCUAACUACGUGCCAGCAGCCGCGGUAAUACGUAGGGUGCAAGCGUUAAUCGGAAUUACUGGGCGUAAAGCGUGCGCAGGCGGUCCGCUAAGACAGAUGUGAAAUCCCCGGGCUUAACCUGGGAACUGCAUUUGUGACUGGCGGGCUAGAGUAUGGCAGAGGGGGGUAGAAUUCCACGUGUAGCAGUGAAAUGCG